AGGAAUCGGAGUAAUUAAAAAAGUAACAGACGAAAAGCGAAAUAAAGUAACAAAACGUUAUGUCGAAUUUCAAUAUAAAUUUAUCUGUGUAACUGCCGGCGGAAGGUGUUUUCCUAUAGCUUUUACACCCCUGCUGCGGACCUUCAAACGAAGCCAUGUGGACGGUAUUUUGUAUACGCACGGCGUUAGUACGAAGUAUUUAGUUUUUGGGGGAAACAACUUUCAACUCUUUAUCG
Cinara cedri is the source of this 236-nucleotide non-coding RNA. The record is from the annotation of a GenBank genome assembly. Lineage: Eukaryota; Metazoa; Arthropoda; Insecta; Hemiptera; Aphididae.